AUCGUUUUUUACGAGAAACCGCGACGGCUCAUUACAAUGGCCAUGAUUUACUUGAUCUUGAUAAUCCUAAAUGGACAACUGUGGAAAAGCUAGAGCUAAUACAUGCACUAAAGCUUUGUCCUUACGGAAAAGCGCAUUUAUUAGAACAAAACCAAGCGGCUUCGGCUGCUUCUUGUUGACUCAGAAUAACUAAGCUGACCGCAUGGCCAAGUGCCGGCGGCGUAUCUUUCAAGCGUCCACUUUAUCAACUUGACGGGAGCAUAAUCGACUCCCGUGGUGGUGACGGAUAACGGAGGAUCAGGGUUCGACUCCGGAGAAGGGGCCUGAGAAAUGGCCACUACGUCUAAGGAUGGCAGCAGGCGCGCAAAUUACCCACUCUCGGCUCGAGGAGGUAGUGACGAGAAAUAACGAGGUCGUUCUCAAAUGAGGCCGGUCAUCGGAAUGGGUACAAUUUAAACCCUUUAACGAGUAUCAAGCAGAGGGCAAGUCUGGUGCCAGCAGCCGCGGUAAUUCCAGCUCUGCUAAUACAUAGAAUUAUUGCUGCGGUUAAAAAGCUCGUAGUUGGAUUCGUGUCGAUACCCUGGAACCCUUCGGGUGUCUCUAGGUGUUAUCGAUUUAUCGUAAUGUUCGGUCUUGAGUCCUUAACAGGAUUCCUGACAGGCGUUACAAGUUUACUUUGAACAAAUCAGAGUGCUUCAAACAGGCGUUUAGCUUGAAUGAUCGUGCAUGGAAUAAUAGAAUACGAUUUCGGUUCAGUUUUAUUGGUUUUACGGACUGAGAUAAUGGUUAACAGAGACAAACGGGGGCAUUUGUAUGGCCCCGUGAGAGGUGAAAUUCUUGGACCGUGGCCAGACAAACUACAGCGAAAGCAUUUGCCAAGAAUGUCUUCAUUAAUCAAGAACGAAAGUCAGAGGUUCGAAAGCGAUCAGAUACCGCCCUAGUUCUGACCGUAAACGAUGCCAACUAGCGAUCCGCCGAUGGAGUUUCAUUGCCUUGGUGGGGAGCUUCUCGGAAACGAAAGUCUUCUGGUUCCUGGGGAAGUAUGGUUGCAAAGCUGAAACUUAUAGGAAUUGACGGAAGGGCACACA
This 1088-nucleotide ribosomal RNA is filed under the name Meloidogyne hapla. RNAcentral describes it as "SSU rRNA". It matches the Rfam family "Eukaryotic small subunit ribosomal RNA", at positions 68 to 1171 of the family's 1831-position model. Lineage: Eukaryota; Metazoa; Nematoda; Chromadorea; Rhabditida; Meloidogynidae. The record is from RNAcentral.